AUGCACAAGUGUGGAAGAAGUGGAAUUAAGGGCCUAGUUUGUCAGUCUCUACAUAGGUAUUACACUUCAUAUGCCUAUUAUUUUGGAGAUUGUUGUUCUUUUGUGGCAUCCUCUCUUGCGAAGGAUAACUUUACCGAAAAAGGCUGGCGCCCCACUUUAUUGAUGAAGCAACAACUAAUCAUACAUCCAAAAUAUACAACUCGACACCAAACCCACACACUAAAGACAAGAUACAAGGGUGAAAGGAGAACAACUAAACUACCCCAAACAAACUACCAGAGGAAGCUACUUGAAGUCUCUGAAAUAACUUUGCUUGAAAGGAUAACUUUGAUAGGUCCCCACUCGUGGAUCUGA
Molecule: ribosomal RNA, 354 nt
Filed under: Triticum aestivum (bread wheat)
Lineage: Eukaryota; Viridiplantae; Streptophyta; Magnoliopsida; Poales; Poaceae
Description: partial small subunit ribosomal RNA
Source: RNAcentral